UGCCAGCAGCUGCGGUAAUACGUAGAGUGCAAGCGUUAUCCGGAUUUAUUGGGCGUAAAGCGUUUCGUAGGCUGUUAACUAAGUUUCACUUCAAAGACCGGAGCUCAACUUCGGGAAGGGGUGAAAUACUAUUUGACUUGAAAUACUCCGGGGUUACUGGAACUGUCGGUGUAGGGGUGAAAUCCGUUGAUAUCGACAGGAACUCCAAGGGCGAAGGCAGGUAACUAGGAGAUAUUUGACGCUGAGGAACGACAGCUAGGGGAGCGAAAGGGAUUAGAGACCCCUGUAGUCCUAGCCGUAAACGAUGCUCGCUAGCUCGCCGAGUUUGACUUGGUGGGCGUAAGCUAACGCGUGAAGCGAGCCGCCUGGGGAGUACGAACGCAAGUUUAAAACUCAAAGGAAUUGACGGGGACCUGCACAACCAGUGGAGCAUGUGGUUUAAUUCGAAACAAACCGAAGAACCUUACCCGGGUUUGACAUCCAGCACUUAAUGCCUAUGUAGAAAUACUGUAGGAAUCGUAAUUUAUUAUGAAGUGCCGGACAGGUGUUGCAUGGCUGUCGUCAGCUCGUGCCGUGGGGUGUUCCCUUCAGUGGGGUAACGAGCGCAACCCCCGUCUCGUGUUGAAUAUUCACGAGAGACUUUCGACCUUUUGGUUGAAGGAAGUGGGGACGACGUCAAGUCAGCAUGGCCCUUAUAUCCGGGGCGACACACAUGCUACAAUGGAGCCGACAAUGGGUUGCCAAGCCGUAAGGCGGAGCUAAUCCCAUCAAACGGCUUCUCAGUGGGGAUUGAGGGCUGCAACUCGCCCUCAUGAACGCGGAAUUGGUAGUAAUCGCGGAUCAGCUAUGCCGCGGUGAAUACGUUCUCGGGUCUUGUACACACCGCCCUUUAAUACAUACAUCGUAUUUUACGAAGUAUAGUAAUAUAGGAAUAGGUAAGAACGCGCCUUGCAGUCAUAUCUUCUAGUGAGUUUAAAUCUCACUCCCGAUUAAAUCGGGAUAGCCAAAAAAAGACACAGUUAAUAACUUUGUCGUAGCAGUCCAGGCAAGGUAACUUACCCGGACGGAGGGCUUGAGGCAAAAGACAGGGAAAGCAUUAUAAAGGCCGACGACUUUUGUUGGGCGGUCAUAAGGAAGUCGUAAAAAAAGCCUGCUUUUCAUGCCUGGAACAGAGGAUAUGAUGACCGAGGGAGACCCUAGUAAGAUCGAGAUUAAUACUUUAGGUCGAAAGACCGCAAGCUAAGCUUACUAGGGAGUCAGCUCUUUCAUAGUACCCGCCGAUAAUUUGUAUAAUAAUUUAAGCGGGGAAGGGAAGAACGUGAUGUUAACACCAACUUGAGAAUAGGUAUGAAUAAACAUUACGGCUCGCUAAGUGCGGGAAAGCCGCUCGCUUAGUGGGAACGCGCAAUAGUCUCAAUGAAGCGCAAUCCGUCAAGUCAGCAAAGUUGGGGGCACCCGAACCCCGAGCGAUCGGGGGAAGGUGACACCAGCGAUGAGGAUUAAGUCGUAACAAGGUAUCCGUUCUGGAAGGAGCGGAUGGAUCACCUCCUUUCUAAG
RNAcentral lists this ribosomal RNA (1557 nucleotides) under Candidatus Woesebacteria bacterium RBG_16_41_13. RNAcentral describes it as "bacterial SSU rRNA". The stretch from base 1 to 965 matches the Rfam family "Bacterial small subunit ribosomal RNA", at positions 506 to 1533 of the family's 1533-position model. Lineage: Bacteria; Candidatus Woeseibacteriota. The record is from RNAcentral. RNAcentral also lists the same sequence under 1 other name.